CUCAGUAUUUUGUGUUUUUUUUAGUGUAAAUCAUGUAUUUUUCUAUAUUUAAUCCACUAAUCAUGUAGGUAUUUGUUAAAGCUCAGAGAAAGUUUAAAGGUAUUAGUAUCAAAACAGUGAAAAAUGAGGAAAAAGUGG
Long non-coding RNA from Sphaeramia orbicularis (orbiculate cardinalfish), 138 nucleotides. RefSeq lists it as uncharacterized. The transcript is spliced from 3 exons. The record is from RefSeq and is a predicted model, not a curated record. Lineage: Eukaryota; Metazoa; Chordata; Actinopteri; Kurtiformes; Apogonidae.